This 59-nucleotide transfer RNA is filed under the name Bacillus wiedmannii. Its description in RNAcentral is "transfer RNA-Met". It matches the Rfam family "tRNA", at positions 8 to 63 of the family's 71-position model. Rfam says of the family: Transfer RNA (tRNA) molecules are approximately 80 nucleotides in length. Their secondary structure includes four short double-helical elements and three loops (D, anti-codon, and T loops). Further hydrogen bonds mediate the characteristic L-shaped molecular structure. tRNAs have two regions of fundamental functional importance: the anti-codon, which is responsible for specific mRNA codon recognition, and the 3' end, to which the tRNAs corresponding amino acid is attached (by aminoacyl-tRNA synthetases). tRNAs cope with the degeneracy of the genetic code in two manners: having more than one tRNA (with a specific anti-codon) for a particular amino acid; and 'wobble' base-pairing, i.e. permitting non-standard base-pairing at the 3rd anti-codon position. The record is from RNAcentral. Lineage: Bacteria; Bacillati; Bacillota; Bacilli; Caryophanales; Bacillaceae.
UGGAGCAGCACGGUAGCUCGUCGGGCUCAUAACCCGAAGGUCGCAGGUUCAAAUCCUGU